UCAAUCUAUUUACUUUUUAAACUAUUUUAUGUGUAGUUUUGUUUUGCCUUACCUUGGCACUAUUCAGAAUUAUUUUGCACUAUUCUUUGCACUAUUUAUUUAUUAGUUAUUUACUUUUCUCCUUCUCUCCUCAUGCACCGUGGGUUGAGACAAACGCUAUUCGAUCCCUCCGUUGGUCUGGCACAUCAUCUGGAGUUAACAAUAAAGCUGACUUUGACUUGGAUCCCCACCAUGUAAUAGUUUCACAAAAGCCUUAAAAUACAUUCCUAUAGACUGCAUAAUCUACCCACAUUAUAUGAAUCUGAGAAUAUAUACAAAAUAAUAUUGAAUGCAUAACCACAUAUAUCCUCCAUACAAUAUCUUAAAUUGUGUUUCAGUAUGACAUUCAGUCACUCUCAAGACGAACGCACAAAAGGGACUGAGCUCUGAUUGGCUGGUCGGUGCGCUGAGCGUGUGUGUGUGUGUGUGUGUGUGUGUGCGCGCAGUCGCUGCGUUGGUGGCAGAGUAGUGAAUGGGCAGAGAGAGGGGUGUGCUCUGAGAGGCAGACACACCAUCGGCAGGCAGAGCAGGAGCAGCACACACAACCUCCCCGCACAACCUCCACGCACAACCUCCACGCACAGCCUCCACGCACAACCUCCACGCACAACCUCCCCGAGAGAGAGAGAGAGAGAGAGAGGGAGGGAGAGCAAGGGAGACCAGGCGCACCUUUGCAAGGAUCAAUCCAGAGGACGUCGUCCAUCUUCCACCUCGUUGCCAGCGCCAGAUCGCUCUUGGAAUCACUCCCUUUUUUAACUCCAUUCUAACGCCAUGGAGCAGAAAAUAAACGAGACUCCCACCAACACAUCGCCUCAGAAGCACAUGAAGAACCGCUCCAAGUCCACGGACGAGCUCCAGCACCCCCGCAGGGCUUUCUCCUCACAGAAGUCCCUGCCAGGGAGACCAGAGCUGGAGCAUGUCAAGGAGGGCCCCGAUGACACGGAGUCCUCCACCUCCUCCACCGAGGAGCUGAAGGAGGAACAGGAGUGACUUCCCCCCGCCCUCCCCCUCCUCCUCCACCAUCACCCCCUCCUCCUCUUCCUCCUCCUCCUCCUCCUCCCCACCCGCUCGCCCCCCUCCCCUUACCCUCCCAGACGCCUGUUGUGGGACGGAUGACUGCUGUCCCCCCCACACCCCCAUGACGUCAUCUCACAACACACACACACACACACACACACACACCAAGGCGCUCUACCCAGAGACAGCUGUAGCGACCUGAUCCAGAACACACACACACACACACACACACACACACACACACACACACACACACACACACACACACACACACACACACACACACACACACACACACACACACACACACCCCAGACGACCAUACACACAUGCACACAAGCACACACAUGAACACGCACACACACUAAGACGAUCAUUAGAUGUGCCAUGAUUAUGGAUGUGCAUUGUGAUUUCAUCGUCUGGGGCAAAGUGAAUGUGAAAUGACAAUAAAGAUGUCUUGGUUGAGUGUGAAGGCCUCACUCCUCUCCCCACCUCCUGUCACUGGCGUUUCCUCGAACCGACUUCCUGUUCCACUCUGCCUCCUCCAUGGCAUCCUUGUGUUUUUAGACAAGAUAAGAUAAGAAAGAGCUUUAUUCAUCCCGAAGGAAAUAUUUUUGCCAGAGAUUGCAAAAAAAAUGUCAAAACAUAAGAAUAAAAAAGAUUGAUGAUUAGAA
Gadus morhua (Atlantic cod) is the source of this 1730-nucleotide long non-coding RNA. RefSeq lists it as uncharacterized. NCBI's taxonomy places the organism in Eukaryota, Metazoa, Chordata, Actinopteri, Gadiformes, Gadidae. The transcript has 5 exons. The record is from RefSeq and is a predicted model, not a curated record.